This 45-nucleotide non-coding RNA is filed under the name Schistosoma mattheei. The record is from RNAcentral. Lineage: Eukaryota; Metazoa; Platyhelminthes; Trematoda; Strigeidida; Schistosomatidae.
AUCCAGCUGACGAGUCUCAAAUAGGACGAAAAGCACAUUCUGGAU